UACAGAGGUCUCAAGCGUUGUUCGGAUUCAUCGGGCGUAAAGGGUGUGUAGGUGGCGCGCUAAGUCGGGUGUGAAAUUUCGGAGCUUAACUCCGAAACUGCAUUCGAUACUGGCGUGCUUGAGGACUGGAGAGGAGACUGGAAUUCAUGGUGUAGCAGUGAAAUGCGUAGAGAUCAUGAGGAAGACCAGUGGCGAAGGCGGGUCUCUGGACAGUUCCUGACACUGAGACACGAAGGCCAGGGGAGCAAACGGG
RNAcentral lists this ribosomal RNA (253 nucleotides) under uncultured bacterium. RNAcentral's name for it is "partial 16S ribosomal RNA". It matches the Rfam family "Bacterial small subunit ribosomal RNA", at positions 524 to 776 of the family's 1533-position model. The record is from RNAcentral.